CCUACGGGAGGCAGCAGUGGGGAAUUUUGGACAAUGGGCGAAAGCCUGAUCCAGCCAUGCCGCGUGCAGGAUGAAGGCCUUCGGGUUGUAAACUGCUUUUGUACGGAACGAAAAGACUCUGGUUAAUACCUGGGGUCCAUGACGGUACCGUAAGAAUAAGCACCGGCUAACUACUCCAGACCCCCGCC
Molecule: ribosomal RNA, 188 nt
Filed under: uncultured freshwater bacterium
Lineage: Bacteria
Description: partial 16S ribosomal RNA
Rfam family: Bacterial small subunit ribosomal RNA
Source: RNAcentral